Long non-coding RNA from Phyllostomus discolor (pale spear-nosed bat), 253 nucleotides. RefSeq lists it as uncharacterized. The transcript is spliced from 3 exons. The record is from RefSeq and is a predicted model, not a curated record. Lineage: Eukaryota; Metazoa; Chordata; Mammalia; Chiroptera; Phyllostomidae.
AAGGGAGAGAUUGACCAUAACACAGUAAUAGAAGUAAACUUUAACACCCCAUUGACAUCAAUGGAUAGGUCAUCCACACAGAAACCCAACAGGAAAACAGUGGACUUAAAUGGCACAUUAGACCAGAUGAACUUUAUUGAUAUUUUUAGGACAUUUCACCCAAAAGCAGCAAAAUAUACAUUCCUUCUAAGUGCACAUAGAACAUUUUCUAGGAUAAACCAAAUAUUAUGCCACAAAACAAGUCUUAAUAAAU